Molecule: ribosomal RNA, 498 nt
Filed under: uncultured bacterium
Lineage: Bacteria
Description: partial 16S ribosomal RNA
Rfam family: Bacterial small subunit ribosomal RNA
Source: RNAcentral
GAUGAACGCUGGCGGCGUGCCUAAUACAUGCAAGUCGAGCGAACAGACGAGGAGCUUGCUCCUCUGACGUUAGCGGCGGACGGGUGAGUAACACGUGGAUAACCUACCUAUAAGACUGGGAUAACUUCGGGAAACCGGAGCUAAUACCGGAUAAUAUAUUGAACCGCAUGGUUCAAUAGUGAAAGACGGUUUUGCUGUCACUUAUAGAUGGAUCCGCGCCGCAUUAGCUAGUUGGUAAGGUAACGGCUUACCAAGGCGACGAUGCGUAGCCGACCUGAGAGGGUGAUCGGCCACACUGGAACUGAGACACGGUCCAGACUCCUACGGGAGGCAGCAGUAGGGAAUCUUCCGCAAUGGGCGAAAGCUUGACGGAGCAACGCCGCGUGAGUGAUGAAGGUCUUCGGAUCGUAAAACUCUGUUAUUAGGGAAGAACAAAUGUGUAAGUAACGAUGCACGUCUUGACGGUACCUAAUCAGAAAGCCACGGCUAACUACGUGC